GCUUACGACCACACCGGCCUGAGUACGCCUGAUCUCGGAAGCUAAGCAGGGUCGGCCUGGUUAGUACUUGGAUGGGAGACCGCCUGGGAAUACCAGGUGCUGUAAGCU
Molecule: ribosomal RNA, 108 nt
Filed under: Oncorhynchus kisutch (coho salmon)
Lineage: Eukaryota; Metazoa; Chordata; Actinopteri; Salmoniformes; Salmonidae
Source: RNAcentral